Molecule: ribosomal RNA, 855 nt
Filed under: Xanthoparmelia pokornyi
Lineage: Eukaryota; Fungi; Ascomycota; Lecanoromycetes; Lecanorales; Parmeliaceae
Description: eukaryotic LSU rRNA
Rfam family: Eukaryotic large subunit ribosomal RNA
Source: RNAcentral
GGGAUUGCCUUAGUAACGGCGAGUGAAGCGGCAACAGCUCAAAUUUGAAAUCUGGCUCCUUCGGGGUCCGAAUUGUAAUUUGUAGAGGGUGCUUCGGGCGAGGCCUCGGUCUAAGUCCAUUGGAACAUGGUGUCAUAGAGGGUGAGAAUCCCGUAUGCGACCGUGGCUCGAGCCCAUGUGAAGCCUCUUCGACGAGUCGAGUUGUUUGGGAAUGCAGCUCAAAAUGGGUGGUAAAUUUCAUCUAAAGCUAAAUACUGGCUGGAGACCGAUAGCGCACAAGUAGAGUGAUCGAAAGAUGAAAAGCACUUUGGAAAGAGAGUCAAACAGUACGUGAAAUUGUUGAAAGGGAAGCGCUUGCAACCAGACCUGCCCGUAGGCGAUCAGCCGCUGUUCUCAGCGGUGCACUCGCUCUGCGAUCAGGCCAGCAUCGGUUUCGGCGGUCGGAUAAAGGCCUUGGGAAUGUAGCUCCCCUCCGGGGGAGUCUUAUAGCCCUUGGUGCAAUGCGGCCAGCCGGGACCGAGGACCGCGCUUCGGCUAGGAUGCUGGCGUAAUGGUUGUAAGCGACCCGUCUUGAAACACGGACCAAGGAGUCUAACAUCUAUGCGAGUGUUUGGGUGUCAAACCCAUGCGCGGAAUGAAAGUGAACGGAGGUGAGAACCCUUUAAGGGCGCAUCAUCGACCGAUCCAGAUGUCUUCGGAUGGAUUUGAGUAUGAGCAUAGCUGUUGGGACCCGAAAGAUGGUGAACUAUGCCUGAAUAGGGUGAAGCCAGAGGAAACUCUGGUGGAGGCUCGCAGCGGUUCUGACGUGCAAAUCGAUCGUCAAAUUUGGGUAUAGGGGCGAAAGACUAAUCGAAC